Molecule: long non-coding RNA, 630 nt
Organism: Mus musculus (house mouse)
Lineage: Eukaryota; Metazoa; Chordata; Mammalia; Rodentia; Muridae
Product: predicted gene, 31237
Exons: 5
Source: RefSeq, a predicted model, not a curated record
UCAAUUAGAAAGAAUAUGGAGUAGCAGUCACCCAUGAAGGGUGGCUGAGAACUGAAGCUACCAAGAGUCACUUGCUUUGAGGUGUUUCUGCCUUCCACUGGGAGAAGGAGGGAAGGUACGUAUAACCAGUCUGGAUCUCCACCCUAAAAACUUGGGCUGGUCUCAGUGAAAUGCUUGACAAGAUCAUCAUUGCUCCCAGAUUCGGAGGGAACAGCCACAGCCUCUAGUAAACUCCCGUUGAAGCCCAGUGUUGAAAUACUAAUGAGAAUUCAGAAGAUGCACUUCAGAAACGAAUUCCCUCAGUCAUGGUCCCAGACCCUUUUCCUGACUCUGUACCACUCUCUGGUCCUGAUGCUGAGGAGUGAAGCUCUCAUGAUAGGAACUGUAAUUCCUUUAGCUGCUGGCAGAAGCAUGGAGCAGUAGCAUCAUCCUCACAGCCCACUGACAGGACGUCUGCAGAGGAAAGCUGCAGGCACAGAAUGGAACUGCUUCUACACAGAUGCUAACUGCUACAGGGAGCAGAGCUGAAGGGCAGGGACUACUCACACCCUUUGGAGCCCCAGUGCUAUCAUUGUGAGCCUCAGACACUGGACAUUCAUGUAAAUACUGGAUCAGUAGAUUCAAGACUUG